This is a long non-coding RNA of Dermochelys coriacea (leatherback sea turtle), 363 nucleotides long. RefSeq lists it as uncharacterized. Lineage: Eukaryota; Metazoa; Chordata; Testudines; Dermochelyidae. The record is from RefSeq and is a predicted model, not a curated record. The transcript is spliced from 3 exons.
GAGUCAGGAGUGUGAGGUGUGUGUUUGAAAGAGUGAGAACAAAAAGUGGGGAGAUAUUUGGUGUAUAUAGAGAAAGAAACCAGUAAGUUUUAUGGUUCCCUCACAUAGUGUUCUUUAGAAAGACAUCAAGCAAACCGAGUAUCUUCACAGGGAAUUUUACCGAGUAUCUGCUGGCAUUAAAUAUUUGUAAAGAGGCUUCAGAUUUUCCCUUUGGAAACAUUUCUGACUCUAAUCACUGAUGCUCCUCAUGCUGUUGCCACAAUCCACAGUGACAUAUGUAAUCUGUUCCUAUGCAGUCAGAGCACCUUAAAACCAUUCUGCUGGAGGUUAUUCGCCAUCAUACCUACAGCAGGGUUGAGCUGG